CUUUAGUUACUGCAAUUGAAAAAAAUGCUCCUCCUCAAUUUUUGCUUUGAUAGUUAUGCUGGAUUUUUUUCAUUGUUUUUGAACUUGCAAAAUUUCUUCUUUUUUCUUUUUCUUCUUUUGAUUUUGUUCUUCAAAAACACAUGCGAUGACAUUGUCUUGUGUAGACGUUUUUUUGAAAGUGCUUUAAUAUGAACUUUUAUAUGAUUUGCAGAUAGAGGUUGUAAGGGUUUUUCUUCCAUCACAACCUCACAUAUCACAUAGGUUUCAGAAUAUGAUUUUAUUCUCAAACACCAAAUUUGAUAGUUUUCGUCUGUGAAAAUUUGUG
Molecule: long non-coding RNA, 325 nt
Filed under: Solanum tuberosum (potato)
Lineage: Eukaryota; Viridiplantae; Streptophyta; Magnoliopsida; Solanales; Solanaceae
Description: long non-coding RNA (STUB_LNC004547)
Source: RNAcentral